This 500-nucleotide ribosomal RNA is filed under the name uncultured bacterium. RNAcentral's name for it is "bacterial SSU rRNA". It matches the Rfam family "Bacterial small subunit ribosomal RNA", at positions 28 to 568 of the family's 1533-position model. The record is from RNAcentral.
GAUGAACGCUGGCGGUAUGCUUUACACAUGCAAGUCGUACGAGAGUUUUUAACUCAAGUGGCGGACGGGUGAGUAACACGUAAGAAUUUACCUUUAGGAGGGGGAUAACAACUGGAAACGGUUGCUAAUACCCCAUAUGCUUUCGAGUGAAAUGGAUUUUUCCGCCUAGAGAGAAGCUUGCGGCUGAUUAGCUUGUUGGUGAGGUAAUGGCUCACCAAGGCGACGAUCAGUAUCUGGUUUGAGAGGACGAUCAGACACACUGGAACUGAGACACGGUCCAGACUCCUACGGGAGGCAGCAGUGGGGAAUUUUCCGCAAUGGGCGAAAGCCUGACGGAGCAAUACCGCGUGAGGGAUGACGGCCUAUGGGUUGUAAACCUCUUUUUUCAGGGAGGAAUCAAUGACGUGUACCUGAAGAAUAAGCAUUGGCUAACUCCGUGCCAGCAGCCGCGGUAAGACGGAGGAUGCAAGUGUUAUCCGGAAUCACUGGGCGUAAAGCGU